AGGCUGGGUACAAUCCAGAUUAACUAUUCCUUCUACAGACAAUCCUUCAUUCAAAUCGAUGCCCGAAGAACCUGAUCCGUGAGGCAACGGCUUUUCUAUUAGAUGUUUUGAAGCCAAAUCUUCCUGUUUCCUUCAAACAAAGAAUUUUUCAGCAGUGAGUACUUCUAGCUCAUCUUUUACACAUCAUUUUGAUGCCAAGAUGAAGGGAUGAAGAACAGUUGAUUUAGGUACUUAUAUUGUCGUUUUCUAUUUGAAAUUAUAA
Long non-coding RNA from Juglans regia (Persian walnut), 262 nucleotides. RefSeq lists it as uncharacterized. The record is from RefSeq and is a predicted model, not a curated record. The transcript is spliced from 3 exons. NCBI's taxonomy places the organism in Eukaryota, Viridiplantae, Streptophyta, Magnoliopsida, Fagales, Juglandaceae.